This 615-nucleotide unclassified non-coding RNA is filed under the name Mucoromycotina sp. 2 KO-2013. RNAcentral's name for it is "partial contains ITS1, 5.8S rRNA and ITS2". The stretch from base 217 to 367 matches the Rfam family "5.8S ribosomal RNA". Lineage: Eukaryota; Fungi; Mucoromycota. The record is from RNAcentral.
AAGGAUCAUUAAAGUAUGAUAUUUGAAUUCUUUGGAGUUCAAAACCAUCUGAUAUUGUGAUAUUAUUGAAAAAUUAAAUUUGGAUUUAAAGAUGAUAUUUUCUUUGUGUUAAAACAAAGAAAGUAUCGAUCCAAUAUUUUGAUCAACUCUCUUAUUAUUUUGACUGAAUUUAAUCAAGUUUUAAUCCAAUUUGGAUUAAAAAAAAAAGUUUUAAAUAACUUUCAACAACGGAUCUCUUGGUUCUCGCAUCGAUGAAGAACGCAGCGAAAUGCGAUACGUAAUGUGAAUUGCAGAUUGUGAAUCAUCGAAUCUUUGAACGCAUAUUGCACUCUUUGGUAUUCCGAGGAGUAUACUUGUUUCAGUAUCAUGAAAAUCUCACCAAUGAAACUUUUUUUGUUUCAUCUGCGUGGACUUGGGUUUGCGAUUUCUAACACAAUUGCUAAUCUAAAAUGAAUUUCAUGAAGCUUAAAUAUGCUUUGAAUCUUUUGCUUAAUAGUUUUGCUUUGUCAAAUCUUUUGCAACUGGAUUCAAAUCCAAAAAGUGGAUUGAUUUUACGAAAAAUCAAAACCUUCAUUUUUUGAUCUGAAAUCAAGUAGGAUUACCCGCUGAACUUAA